This is a long non-coding RNA of Passer domesticus (house sparrow), 487 nucleotides long. RefSeq lists it as uncharacterized. The record is from RefSeq and is a predicted model, not a curated record. The transcript has 3 exons. Lineage: Eukaryota; Metazoa; Chordata; Aves; Passeriformes; Passeridae.
CAGGUGGUGAACAAACAGCAGGAGCAGAUGUAUUCCAAAGAACAAAGACUGUAAAGUCAUGCAUGAAUCCCUAGUAAUAAAAUGUUAGGCAAGAAAAACAAAGAGUCUGUCCUUUACAGAGAGAUCAGAAGAAUGGAAAUGAAGGCAUCAAGCACUACAAAAGUGUCCCAGUAUGAAAACCUGUUUCUAUACUGCGCCUCUGGUGGCUGCAAAAAGGUCUGUGAGCAGGUGGAACUUCCUGUGCAUCCAUUGGACCAAAUGGGACCUAUCUCAGUGUGCUUGCAUCAUUAUGAGACCACUCUCUGUUCUCUUCAAAAAGUCCUGGAGAUCAGAAGAAAUCUCCAGUGCCUGGAGAAGUGCAUUAUACUCAAAAAAGGCAGGCUGGUCAGCUUCAGUCUAGAUCCUGGGAAAAUCAUGCAGUCCUCUUAAAGCCCAUGUGGGCAGAAAAUGUGAUUGUCCUUCCUGAUAAAAUGACUGGUUUUAUUAA